This 2970-nucleotide long non-coding RNA is filed under the name Xyrichtys novacula (pearly razorfish). The record is from RNAcentral. Lineage: Eukaryota; Metazoa; Chordata; Actinopteri; Labriformes; Labridae.
CUGAGACUCAACCAAACAAACAAGUUCCUGUUUUAGUGAACUUUGAAUUUGGACUCAGGAGAGGAAGAUGGUUGUCAAGAAUACUGAACUUAAAGGAUGAUCAAUAACGGUCAGUAAAUGAGGAGAAGAAUCUGUGAUCUGGUGGUUUAGGUUUCAGUGAAAACAGUCAGAGUGAAAGUGAAAGUAUGUGAGCUGAAAAACAGACUCCAUUUUGAGAAAAGAAGAGAGAGGAGAGGACGAGGAGACAGGGUGAGUGUUUACUCUGUUUUAGUUUUAAUGUCAAACUCUUUAUCUGUUUUAUCUGUUAAUGAAAAAAUGAUUUACUGACUAAAACACUUAAAAACUGUAAAACAAAGAAACCUGAGCAGACAAAGAGCUGGAUCAGUUCUUCAUACAGGAAACUGUGUACGUGCAGUUCUUCCUCCUCUUUGUUUAGACUUGUCUUUUUGGUAAAAAUAUUAAUCAGAAUCUUUUUAGCGUCUCAUUUCAACUUUAAUCCAGUCUCCUUAAGUUUUUAUGAGAGUUCAGGGACCUCACAGCUGAUUUUGUUUUGACCAUGAAUCAGACAAGGAUCAGAGAGAGGCCCUGCAGGGUGGGGAGACAUCAGAAGUUCUUGGAUAUUAAACCUGUAUAACUCUUAAAGAGGGGGAUGAAGCUGUUUUUAGACUCUGUACUUCCUUUCUGAUUCCUCUUUUAUUUCUGAACUCUCUCUUCCUGUUUGUAUCUCACCUGUUUGUCUUCUUUGUCCUCAGGUUGUAUAACUCGGUUUCAGCCUCCAUAAAUUUGCACAACAGAAGAUGGAGAAGAUGAGUGUUGGUGUCGAGGAAGAGGAGGGCAGAGCAGAGUCUGAUAUGUUUGACUGUCUGUCUAUGAAGAGUGACCAGUCUAAAGGUUUUGAUAUAAACUUCAGUAAAGAACCAGGACCCCCAGAGGAGGACAGAACAAAGUCUGUUAUCUCCAGCUGUCUGUCUAUGAAGAGUGACCGGUCUAAAGAUCCUCCACCAAAAUUCAGUGAAGAACCAGGACCCUCAGAUUCACAGUAAGAGAAACACUUUUCAAUCACCAAACUCUCAAACAACAACAAUUGACGUUUCAAAUACAAAACUUUAAAUCCUGACCCCUCUGUUUUCUCCUCUGUUCUCAAAACACUGAUUUUCCUCUUAAACCUGCCAACCUGGAUAAAAUUCAAUUCAAUUCAACUUUAUUUAUAAAGCCCAUUUCAUGUACAAGGCAGACUCAAUGUUCUUCACAACAGGUGUACAUAGUUAAAAACAGUUAUACAAAAAUCAAUUAGAAAUCAAUGUAAGAGUGUAAGUGCAAGUCAACUUCACUGCAUGCACACUUAAACUCGUACAUGCGCACGCACUCACACAUGGACACGUGCACACGUACACACAUACACACACAGUUUAAAAGAAUGCUAUAGAAAUCUGUUUUUAAAGAUGGCUACUGAUGUGUCUAACUGUGUCAGGCAUGGUGUUCCAUUUUUGUGGGGCAUAAACACUCAAAGCUGCCUCCCCUCAUUUGGAUCUGGUGUGAGGGAUGAGUAAGUUGCCACUGCCUGUUGACCGAAGUGUUCUUGCUGAGGUGUAGGUGAUGAGCAUAUCUGUGAUGUACUGAGGUGCAAGGCCAUGUAGUGCUUUGUAAACCAGGAGGAGUAUUUUGAAAUCGAUUCUUGUCCUAACGGGUAACCAAUGUACAGAUUUGAGAACGGGUGUGAUGUGUUGAUAUUUUUUGGUACCAGUGAGAAUACAUGCAGCUGCAUUUUGAAUUAACUGUAACCUCUGAAGACUUGAUUUUGGGAGUCCAGUGAAUAAACCGUUAUCCAGUAGUAAUCCAGUCUACUUCUUAUAAAUGCAUGGAUGAAUUUUUCUAAGUCUGAUUUUGACAGAAAGCCCCUCAAUUUGGAGAUAUUUUUGAGAUGAUAGAAAGAUGAUCUUGAAUUGAAUCUUGUAAUGGAUAAAAGGCUGGUAAAGAAAAACUCACUGAGCACAGAUUUACUUAUUAUUGUUGAUGUUUAUAAAAAUGAAAGUCGUUUAAAACAGCAUUUGAAAAGGAUUCUGACUUCUUGUAUUUUCUGAUUUGGUUCCUGUGUUUGGGACGUUUUGAGCCUGUUAGUCUUUGGACUGUGGUCUGUAGACCCCAGAAAACAGUCUGUGGGUCACAAAAUACCAGAAGACCAAUGAAGAAAUAAAUCCUGAGAAAUAAAAACUCAUUCAGAGCAUCUGUCUGUUAUUAGACCUUUAGAUCUGAUCGGUGGAAAAAAAAGUUUUAAACUGUCAGAGAAAAUCUCUCUACCUUCAAAAUCACUUUAGUUUUUUCUCUUGUCACGACACUUCAGGCAGCAGCAGCUGAAUAUUUUACAGGAGAUUGUUUUAUGUUAGAGAAAAGAGAAACUCUGGUUUAAUAAAUGUUUCUUAUUCUGUAUCUUUCAAACAUGAAAUAAUAAAGAAAAUAAAUGUUCUUUAUUUCCACAGAGAGACACAGAGAUGUGACUCUGUGGAGGAGCAGCUGUCCAGAUGUUCUUUAUGUCAGGACGUCCUGAAGGAUCCAGUCUCUACCCGCUGUGGACACCAGUCUACUUCUUCAGGAUACACCUCCUGUCCCCAGUGUGGAAAAAGAACCAGAACAGUUCUUGUCUUUCAGACAGACAGCCAGUCCAGCUCUGAUCGAAGUAAGUCUGAACACCUUUAAACCCUAAAUUAUACAAUUUCUGCCAGAAUUAUUUUGCUUAUUUUAGCCAUAAAAUUGGCAGAAAAUGUCCUAUGAGUGAGUGCUUUUUUAUUCAUUGGCUUUCAACCCUGCAUGAGACUCGGCUCCUGUUUUAGUGUUUUAUGUUUUUUUUUUUUUUUUUUUUUUAUGUCUAUGCUUUUUUGUCUAUUUAUAUACAGCACUUUGGUUGGCUGUGGUUGUUUUAAAGUGCUUUACAAAUAAAGUUGAGUUUUACCCAUUUUUCCAGAACACUUCAAA